GAAGGAAAGGGACCUCGGUUAGGAAAAAGGACAAAUUAGUAAUUUGCUACAUGUGAAUUUACAGAGGAAGAGGUUCUAUUUCAAAUGUCAAAAGUAAAGACAAAUAAGUCAAUGGGGCCUGAUGGAAUACACCCAAAGUUAUUAAAAGAGCUUAGUGGUGUACUAGCAAAACCAUUAACAGAUUUAUUUAACAAAUCAUUGUUAACAGAAGUAGUCCCAGAAGUCAGCAAAUGUUAUGCACAUUCACAAGAAAGGUAGUAGGGAGGAGUCGGGCAACUAUAGGCCAGUAAGCCUUACUUCAGUAGCGGGGAAAAAUGGAAACCAUGUUAAAGGAUAGGAUUGUUGAACAUUUAAAAUCACAUGGAUUUAAAGGUCAGAGACAACAUGGGUUUACUUCAGGGAGAUCAUGCCAAACUAAUCUUAUUUUUUUUUUAUUGGGUAACUAAAAUAAUAGAUCAGGGGGGUGCAGUAGACAUUGCUUACCUAGAUUUCAGUAAGGCUUUUUGACACUGUUACAAAUAGAAGGCUUAUCAAUAAACUGCAAUCUUUAAGUUUAGAUUCAAAUAUUGCUGAAUGGGUAAGGCAGUGGCUGAGUGACAGGCAACAGAGGGCUGUAGUCAAUGGAAUAUAUUCGAAGCAUGGGUACCUCAGGGAUUUGUACUUGGACCCAUUCUCUUAAAUAUUUUUAUUAGUGAUAAUGCAGAAGGUCUUGAUGGUAAGGUAUGUAUUUUUGCUGAUGAUACUAAGAUAUGUAACAGGGAUAAAGGAUAAGCCAAAUGGCAAAGGAUUUAGGUAAACUAGAAAAAUUGUCAGAGUUGUUGCAAUUGACAUUUAAUGUGGAUAAGUGCAAGAUAAUGCAUCUUGGACAUAAAAAAACAAGGGCAGAGUACAGAAUAUUUCACAGAGUCCUAACCUCAACAUCUGAGGAAAGGGAUUUAGGGGUGGUUAUUUCUGAUGACAUAAAGGUAGGCAGACAAUGUUAUAGAGAAGCAGGAAAUGCUUGGUUGUAUAAGGAGAGGUAUUAGCAGUAGAAAUAGAGAAGUGCUCAUGCCAUUGUACAGAACAUUGGUAAGACCUCACUUGGAGUAUUGUACGCAGUACUGGAGAUGGUAACUCCAGAAGGAUAAUGAUACUUUAGAGAGAGUUCAGAGAAGGGCUACUAAACUGGUUCAUGGAUUGCAGAAUAAAACUUACCAGGAAAGGUUAAUGGAUCUUAACAUGUAUAGUUUGGAGGAAAGAUAAGACAGGGGGAUAGGAAACAUUUAAACACAUAAAAGAAAUCAACACUGUAAAUGAGGAGACUAUAUGUAAAAGAAGAAAAACUUCCACAACAAGAGGACAAAGUCUUACAUUAGAGGGGCAAAGGUUUAAAAAUAAUAUCAGGAAGUAUUACUUUACUGAGAGGGUGGCGAAUGCAUGGAAUAGCCUUCCAGCUGAAGUGGUAGAGGUUAACACAGUGAAGAAAUUCAAGCAUGCGUGGAAUAGGCAUAAGGUUAUCCUAGCUAUAAGAUAAGGCCAGGGACUCACAAAAGUAUUUAGAAAAUUCUGCAGACUAGAUGGGCCAAAUUGUUCUUAUCUGCCGUCACAUUCUAUGUUUCUAUAUUUCUAUGAUAUAUUGUAAAAUAUGGCACCCCAAACUUAAUCAAUAUUCAAGUUUGCUGAUUGACAUUUUCAUGAACACAGGUAUAAAAAAUAGCAAAUAAAACUCUAAAAGAGGGACGUUUGAUAAAUAAAGUGCUUGUUAAUUUUUACAAAGUGAAUAGCAGCUUUUGUGUGGAAAUACCUUAUCAGCCACACUACAAUUGAAUCGAAAAACCAUGUUAUAGUCAAUUGAGGAAGCGCGAGAGAAUGAAACACAUUUUGGCAUCAGUUUGAAGGACUUAUUUAUUUGUUAAG
RNAcentral lists this long non-coding RNA (1896 nucleotides) under Pelobates cultripes (western spadefoot toad). The record is from RNAcentral. Lineage: Eukaryota; Metazoa; Chordata; Amphibia; Anura; Pelobatidae.